Molecule: unclassified non-coding RNA, 240 nt
Filed under: soil metagenome
Description: partial contains 5.8S ribosomal RNA, internal transcribed spacer 2, and large subunit ribosomal RNA
Source: RNAcentral
AACCAUAGAAACCUGCGGAGUACCUGCGGAAGGAUCAUUACAGAGUUGCAAAACUCCCUAAACCAUUGUGAACGUUACCUAAACCGUUGCUUCGGCGGGCGGCCCGGGUCCUUCCCGGCGCCCAUCGGCCCUCGCGGGCGCCCGCCGGAGGUAAACCAAACUAUUGCAUUGUAUGGCCUCUCUGAGUCUUCUGUACUGAUUAAGUCAAAACUUUUAACAACGGAUCUCAGAUCGGAAGAG